GUGGGGAAUAUUGGACAAUGGGCGAAAGCCUGAUCCAGCCAUGCCGCGUGUGUGAAGAAGGUCUUCGGAUUGUAAAGCACUUUAAGUUGGGAGGAAGGGCAGUAAGUUAAUACCUUGCUGUUUUGACGUUACCGACAGAAUAAGCACCGGCUAACUUCGUGCCAGCAGCCGCGGUAAUACGAAGGGUGCAAGCGUUAAUCGGAAUUACUGGGCGUAAAGCGCGCGUAGGUGGUUUUGUAAGUUGGAGGUGAAAUCCCCGGGCUCAACCUGGGAACUGCCUCCAAAACUGCAUGACUAGAGUACGGUAGAGGGUAGUGGAAUUUCCUGUGUAGCGGUGAGAUGCGUAGAGAUAGGAAGGAAAACCAGUGGCGAAGGCGACUACCUGGACUGAUACUGACACUGAGGUGCGAAAGCGUGGGGAGCAAACAGGAUUAGAAACCCCGGUAGUCC
This 450-nucleotide ribosomal RNA is filed under the name uncultured bacterium. RNAcentral's name for it is "bacterial SSU rRNA". It matches the Rfam family "Bacterial small subunit ribosomal RNA", at positions 354 to 796 of the family's 1533-position model. The record is from RNAcentral.